This 370-nucleotide ribosomal RNA is filed under the name Rozellomycota sp. RNAcentral's name for it is "Cryptomycota sp. partial small subunit ribosomal RNA". It matches the Rfam family "Eukaryotic small subunit ribosomal RNA", at positions 582 to 975 of the family's 1831-position model. Lineage: Eukaryota; Fungi; Rozellomycota. The record is from RNAcentral.
AUUCCAGCUCCAAUAGCGUAUAUUAAAGUUGUUGCAGUUAAAAAGCUCGUAGUUGAACCUUGGACAAAGUGCGCGUGGUCUACCGCAAGGUACGACUGCGGCGCUGCGUCUCUUUAGGGGGACUCGAUGCUUCGGUGUCGAGGUAACCCGUGUUACUGUGAAGAAAUUAGAGUGUUUAAAGCAGGCUAUCGCUUGAAUACAUCAGCAUGGAAUAACAAGUUGGACUUUGCUCCUACUUGUUGGUUUGAGGGGAAAAGUAAUGAUUAAUAGGGCCAGUUGGGGGCAUUAGUAUUCAGUAGUCAGAGGUGAAAUUCUUGGAUUUACUGAAGACUAACUAGUGCGAAAGCAUCUGCCAAGGAUGUUUUCAUUA